This 67-nucleotide transfer RNA is filed under the name Marmota marmota marmota (Alpine marmot). It matches the Rfam family "tRNA". From Rfam's summary of the family: Transfer RNA (tRNA) molecules are approximately 80 nucleotides in length. Their secondary structure includes four short double-helical elements and three loops (D, anti-codon, and T loops). Lineage: Eukaryota; Metazoa; Chordata; Mammalia; Rodentia; Sciuridae. The record is from Rfam by way of RNAcentral. RNAcentral also lists the same sequence under 1 other name.
GGUCAUGGCUCAGUGGUAGAGCAUUCGCCUAGCAGGUGCAAGGCCCUGGGUUCAAUCCUCAGGACCA